This 254-nucleotide ribosomal RNA is filed under the name uncultured bacterium. Its description in RNAcentral is "partial 16S ribosomal RNA". It matches the Rfam family "Bacterial small subunit ribosomal RNA", at positions 524 to 776 of the family's 1533-position model. The record is from RNAcentral.
UACGUAGGAGGCGAGCGUUGUCCGGAGUUACUGGGCGUAAAGGGUGCGCAGGCGGCGGUUCGCGUGGCGAGAUGAAAUCUCCUGGCUUACCUGGGAGGGUAGUCGCUAGACGGGAUCGCUUGAGGGUCGGAGAGGGGCGUGGAAUUCCGGGUGGAGCGGUGAAAUGCGUAGAGAUGCGGAGGAACACCGAUGGCGAAGGCAGCCCCCUGGGCUGACACUGACGCUCAGGCACGAAAGCGUGGGGAGCAAACAGG